UUAUUAUUCUCCUGCUCUUGUUGUAUCGCUGCAGACAGUCCAAGUAUUCCUGCUUCACCAGGUCGAUCCAGUCUGAGAGUCACAGUCCGGGCUCCUCCACAAAUCAUGGAGUCAACCAGGAUGAAACUCAUGUGUACGACUCUGUUCAUCCUGGUACCAAUAACAUAUAUGAAUCUGUUACGCAGGUUGAAGACAACAGAAAUGGAUCAGAUGAACAUCAAGAUGUCACAUACGCUCUUAUUGAACUUAAAAACCUUGAAAAGAAGAGGAAGCAUCAUAAACCAGAGCAGAGUGCUGUUUACUCUGAGGUGAAGACGGGAGCUGCAGAGGACAGUCUGAUGUAUGCUG
This is a long non-coding RNA of Oreochromis niloticus (Nile tilapia), 348 nucleotides long. RefSeq lists it as uncharacterized. The transcript has 7 exons. Lineage: Eukaryota; Metazoa; Chordata; Actinopteri; Cichliformes; Cichlidae. The record is from RefSeq and is a predicted model, not a curated record.